This 115-nucleotide ribosomal RNA is filed under the name Candidatus Babeliales bacterium. Lineage: Bacteria; Candidatus Babeliae; Candidatus Babeliales. The record is from RNAcentral.
UCUGGUGGAUAUAGCUACGGGGAAACACCCGUUCCCAUUCCGAAUACGGCAGUAAAGUCCGUAGCGCUGAUAAUACUUGGCUGGUAACGGCCUGGAAAUGUAGGUACCGCCAGAU